Molecule: long non-coding RNA, 261 nt
Organism: Anguilla anguilla (European eel)
Lineage: Eukaryota; Metazoa; Chordata; Actinopteri; Anguilliformes; Anguillidae
Exons: 3
Source: RefSeq, a predicted model, not a curated record
GAGUAACGUAGCAGUGGAAGUCCGUAGAUCCAGCUAAUGAAAACCACUUUUAACAGAUUUGCCUCUGGCUUCCUGUUACGGUAGAGGUAGAGAGGAGUGUAGGACGGCUUCCUCACAGAGGAUUUUGCUGUUGAAUCUUUUCGGUGCAUCGGUGAAGGUAAAAGAUGGCGCAUUAACCACAUCACCCCUCCACAGUUUGCCUCUGGCUUCCUGUUACGGUAGAGGUAGAGAGGAGUGUAGGACGGCUUUCUCACAGAGAAU